AUAAUUGUUGGUUAAAUUAAAAUCUUUUAACAAAAACAAUUGCUUGUGAUUUUGCUUCAAUGGCAAAACCUCCUUCGACGUGGCAUUCUCCUUGGACCCGAACGCCAUUAUAUAAUUUCUCCGUCUCCUAGAGUCAAUUUUGAAGCCAAGCCAAAGUCAAAAAAUGGCGGACCCAAAUGCGGCCACCGUGUUCUCCGCCGUAGAUCAUUCUCUGAACGACCUUCCAGAAGAAAUCCUGACACACAUCCUCUCCUUCUUAUCCACAAAAUCCGCCAUCCAAACCUCCUUACUCUGCCGCAAGUGGAGAUAUCUCUGGUGCCAACUCUCUUCCCUCAAUUUCCCAUACUCCUCUGUCUCGACCGCCACCUCCAUCCCUGCUCGCUCUCUCGCGGACUUCAUCAACCAAACACUAAUCCGCCGGCCCUCAACUUCUCCUCCACUCCAAAAAUUCCACCUCCAGUUUGACUUCAAAGAACAUCUCUACUCCUCUCAUGUAGACUCAUGGGUUCGCUACGCAAUUCUCCAUCACGUGCAACAACUCGAGCUCGAUUUCUACAUAAGCAGGGAAUUCCAGACUUCUGAUAUCGAAUCAGAUUACGAUUUUCCUUUCUUUUUGCUUAAAAAUGGGAAUGUUAAGAUUUUGAAGCUUACAAAAUGUCGUAUUACUCUCCCUACUAAUGUUGCUUCUAUGGGACUUAGCUUUCUGAAGUCGGUUUUUCUCGAUCAGGUCUAUUUAAGCGAUGAAAUGGUGUCUAAUUUGAUUUCUGGGUGUGUGAAUUUGGUUUUUUUGGGUCUUGAGUACUGUUAUGGGAUGAAGGAUGUGAAAAUUUGUUCUUUGAAGAUUACGGUGUUGCAUCUUAACUACUUUACUUGUGAGGAUGGGUCGCUUGAGAUUUCUUGUCCAAAUCUUGUGUCAUUAGAAAUGAUUGGUUUUCAUGUGGAGAAGUAUGAUUUUAAGAACUUAUCGGGUUUAGUUGAAGCUGGCGUUGCUUUCUUGCAUAUGUGGAAGUAUUAUAGGCAUUGGAGUCAGGUUAUGAGGUUCCUUCUUCAUGUCAAGCGUCUUACAGUCCAGAAUUGGUGGUUUAAGCUUCUUACGUCAACUGAUAUUUUUUCAAAAAUAUCUAUAUUCUGCAAUCUCAAGCAUUUAGAGCUAAGAACAGAGUACUCAAAGUAUGAUCUGCUUGGUAUAGCUGCAAUACUGGAAAUUUCGCCUAAUCUGGAGACUUUGAUCUUAGAUUACAUUUGUAAGAUAGAUAAUGAUGAAUGCCUCUCAGAAGAGCUUUUGAAUAAACCAAUUCAUCUGUCUCUGCCAAAACUUACAUUUGUUGAAAUAAGAGGUUGUGAAGAAGUAGAGAGGAUUGCAUUCUUCUUGGCACUUUUAUUUGAUCAUGGAGUAGUUCUGGAAAAGGUUAUUUUGUUUCCCCCGAGUGCGGAUGCUUCCCGUAAAGUAGUGAUUCUGCAAAGAACAGGCCCUUAGCAGCCAUCCAUUGCCCGAGGAUGGUGAAGUUUCUAAUGGUUUUAACAUUAUUAAGGAUAGAGUAACUAGAUUUGCAGUGCUCCUCCUCAUGAGAAACUUUUUGUUUCAAACCCAAGAGCAAGAUUUGGCUGCCUCAGUAUUCUUCGACAGGCUCAAUCAAAUCAACAAUACCAGAUUGUGGCUAAUUUGAGUAAGAAAGAUCUUCAGACGGAAAUUUCAAAUAUUAAUCACUGAAUGUCCUCUUGGAAUUAUAGACUACUGCCUUUCUUUUUUUUGGUAAAAAGGAAGAGCAAAGCUCAGGGAACCACAAACAUAAACGUUGGUGGGCAAUGCCAGAAAUAUCAUGGUUCAACCAAUAGGCAAGACCAGUAGGAGGUUCUAACAAGACAUUGGUUUCUAAAGGGAAAUGCCUAACAAAUUUAGCUAAGCAAGUAGCACUGUGAUUUGCUUCUCUAUGCACAUGAAACAGCCUGCAAACCCAAUCAUGAGUAAGAAGAUUUUUGAUAGCUACAACUAGCUGAAGCGUGCUACCCUUCAGAAGCGACACCACCGUUCACAAGCUGAACAACCGUCUCGUUAUCACAUUCAAUAACCAAAUGGGAGAUACCCAUGUCGUUAGCAAGUUUUAGUCCUUCAAGAAUAGCCCAAAGCUCCGCUUCUGGGACCGAGCAAGUUCCAAGCUUGGAGACAAAACCUUUGAUCCGCCUGCCUGGGCCGUACCUAAUCAGAGCCCCUCCGCACGCUAUAGACCCUACAAGAGAACCAUCGGUAUUUAGCUUGACAAAGGGAACAGUAGGAAAAGACCAAGCAAUCCACGCAUUCCGUGAUAAAACUAUGACUAGUGAGGGACUUGAGUCCAUCUUGCCGCUAUUUAAGCAGCACAUCAGUUUUGUUUAAGUCUAUGACUAGUUUUGUGACUUUCAUCUCCAGAAUAUGCAAAGAUUUUGAAUUCUUCA
Molecule: RNA transcript, 2433 nt
Organism: Jatropha curcas
Lineage: Eukaryota; Viridiplantae; Streptophyta; Magnoliopsida; Malpighiales; Euphorbiaceae
Gene name: putative F-box/LRR-repeat protein At3g18150
Source: RefSeq, a predicted model, not a curated record